RNAcentral lists this ribosomal RNA (837 nucleotides) under Enterococcus sp. Gull10_H08_42. Its description in RNAcentral is "bacterial SSU rRNA". It matches the Rfam family "Bacterial small subunit ribosomal RNA", at positions 70 to 878 of the family's 1533-position model. Lineage: Bacteria; Bacillati; Bacillota; Bacilli; Lactobacillales; Enterococcaceae. The record is from RNAcentral.
UCUUUUUCCACCGGAGCUUGCUCCACCGGAAAAAGAAGAGUGGCGAACGGGUGAGUAACACGUGGGUAACCUGCCCAUCAGAAGGGGAUAACACUUGGAAACAGGUGCUAAUACCGUAUAACAAUCGAAACCGCAUGGUUUUGAUUUGAAAGGCGCUUUCGGGUGUCGCUGAUGGAUGGACCCGCGGUGCAUUAGCUAGUUGGUGAGGUAACGGCUCACCAAGGCCACGAUGCAUAGCCGACCUGAGAGGGUGAUCGGCCACAUUGGGACUGAGACACGGCCCAAACUCCUACGGGAGGCAGCAGUAGGGAAUCUUCGGCAAUGGACGAAAGUCUGACCGAGCAACGCCGCGUGAGUGAAGAAGGUUUUCGGAUCGUAAAACUCUGUUGUUAGAGAAGAACAAGGAUGAGAGUAACUGUUCAUCCCUUGACGGUAUCUAACCAGAAAGCCACGGCUAACUACGUGCCAGCAGCCGCGGUAAUACGUAGGUGGCAAGCGUUGUCCGGAUUUAUUGGGCGUAAAGCGAGCGCAGGCGGUUUCUUAAGUCUGAUGUGAAAGCCCCCGGCUCAACCGGGGAGGGUCAUUGGAAACUGGGAGACUUGAGUGCAGAAGAGGAGAGUGGAAUUCCAUGUGUAGCGGUGAAAUGCGUAGAUAUAUGGAGGAACACCAGUGGCGAAGGCGGCUCUCUGGUCUGUAACUGACGCUGAGGCUCGAAAGCGUGGGGAGCAAACAGGAUUAGAUACCCUGGUAGUCCACGCCGUAAACGAUGAGUGCUAAGUGUUGGAGGGUUUCCGCCCUUCAGUGCUGCAGCUAACGCAUUAAGCACUCCGCCUGGGG